This 164-nucleotide ribosomal RNA is filed under the name Gorteria gracilis. Its description in RNAcentral is "Hirpicium gracile 5.8S:ribosomal RNA". It matches the Rfam family "5.8S ribosomal RNA". Rfam says of the family: 5.8S ribosomal RNA (5.8S rRNA) is a component of the large subunit of the eukaryotic ribosome. It is transcribed by RNA polymerase I as part of the 45S precursor that also contains 18S and 28S rRNA. The record is from RNAcentral. Lineage: Eukaryota; Viridiplantae; Streptophyta; Magnoliopsida; Asterales; Asteraceae.
AAACGACUCUCGGCAACGGAUAUCUCGGCUCACGCAUCGAUGAAGAACGUAGCAAAAUGCGAUACUUGGUGUGAAUUGCAGAAUCCCGUGAACCAUCGAGUUUUUGAACGCAAGUUGCGCCCGAAACCAUUUGGUCGAGGGCACGUCUGCCUGGGCGUCACGCA